UCCAAUGGUAAUGAUGACAAUCCUUCUGGUGAGAAUGCAGGGCAUUAUGCACGAAUCAAAGAGUUGGCUGCCUCCUAUCGCAGGGAAAAGAGGAAAACCUAUCCUAAAAAGAACUUAAAAACCAUAUGUGAAGGCUCCAUCCAGGGACAUCAAUGGUGCUAUAGAUGGUCCAUCAGUUCCCAGAAGAGAAAGAAAAGGGAAGAAAACCUCAACGACAGAGAAACUAAAGGACUUUCCUGAGGAAUUGCUACCAAGUAAUAAUGAAGUAGAAAUCGAUGCACCUUUCGAUUUUCAAGUGUUCCAGCAAGUGAGAGCUGAACUUAUGGAGCUUCUGAAUGGGAUUCGGGCUUCCAAUAGUACUGAAGUGCCAGGCACUGAAUCUGAAUGGAAGAAAAGGCAUUUUGUUGCGCAUGCUGACCGGAAGCAAAGACAAGAGGAGAGUUGGGAGGAGGU
Lineus longissimus is the source of this 453-nucleotide long non-coding RNA. RefSeq lists it as uncharacterized. NCBI's taxonomy places the organism in Eukaryota, Metazoa, Nemertea, Pilidiophora, Heteronemertea, Lineidae. The transcript has 3 exons. The record is from RefSeq and is a predicted model, not a curated record.